This 85-nucleotide transfer RNA is filed under the name Felis catus (domestic cat). It matches the Rfam family "tRNA". Rfam says of the family: Transfer RNA (tRNA) molecules are approximately 80 nucleotides in length. Their secondary structure includes four short double-helical elements and three loops (D, anti-codon, and T loops). Further hydrogen bonds mediate the characteristic L-shaped molecular structure. tRNAs have two regions of fundamental functional importance: the anti-codon, which is responsible for specific mRNA codon recognition, and the 3' end, to which the tRNAs corresponding amino acid is attached (by aminoacyl-tRNA synthetases). tRNAs cope with the degeneracy of the genetic code in two manners: having more than one tRNA (with a specific anti-codon) for a particular amino acid; and 'wobble' base-pairing, i.e. permitting non-standard base-pairing at the 3rd anti-codon position. Lineage: Eukaryota; Metazoa; Chordata; Mammalia; Carnivora; Felidae. The record is from Rfam by way of RNAcentral.
GCCUGGGUGGCUCAGUCGGUUGAGCGUCCGACUUGGGCUCAGGUCAUGAUCUCACAGUUUGUGAGUUCAAGCCCCGCAUCAGGCU